CCAGAGUAUAAGAUAUUAUCCUCCUUGAGCUUAAAUCCAGAUCUCACCAGCCUGUUAAAUAUGUGUGGAUAUUCUUGCUCAACCUGUUCUUCUUCUUUAGAGAACUACUCAGGCAUAAAUUAAAAUGCUGAAGUGCUGAAAUUUGGCAGCUUAGCUGAGGGAAGAAAUUAUUAAUACUCUGCUCCUGCAAACAACUGACAGCUUGCUGAAGAGUGCUGCGAAACCUCCAUUUUCAAAAGGUGGUGAGGCUAUAUGCUGACCUUGGGGACUGUACAAUUUGAAUUACUGUUUUUUGAGGAGAAACAGAAGAAUUGUUUGUUAUAUCUGAAAAGGAUGUGUACUUAACUUGAAUGUGCAUACCCCAUCUGCAAACCAACCACUUCUAUUGACGAGUACAACAGAUGAAGUAGAGGCGUGUCUUUUUCUAUUGCCUAUCGACAUGCUCCACCGAUGAUGAUAUCUGGCAGUACCCUUACCUCACUUGAACAUUUUAGCUAUAUAUGUGCUUUUCCUGAAGAAGCCAGUUCCAGAAGAAAAUUUCUAUCAAUCAUCCUCAGAAAUCCAGUUUGCUAUACUGAUAUGUGUGACCGUAUGGACCUUCAGGUUGUCUGAACACAAACCGUCUACAAGUCCCAUUAUCCCUGUAGAAUACAACAUGGAGGCCCUUCUAGAAAGAACCCAAGCCACCUUCUCUAUUGAUUACGUUGCAUUGUGGCAAGGACAAGACAAGUCAGAUGUGUGGAAAUAAUCAGGAUGGCUAGGUUCUCCAGAGACCCUCUGCAUUUCUGGUAAGUGCUUUCCUGAGAUGCUCUAAAACAUGAGUCAUCAUCUGGUUUUCCCUUGGGCAUAGGAGCUGUUCCAUGGCCUGGAACACAACCUGCAGUGAAUUUCUGUGAUUCAACAGUGUAUGGUCUACAAAUACAAUGUUAAGCCUAACUUAGAGGCUCUACUUAGAAUGUGGGGAUAGGUUUAGAAUGCCAGUUUAUAUAGCUAUAAAAGAAUUGUAUAUACUUACUUCUCUGACUUCCUCUCAUGCUGUAUACAGUCUGAUUAAACCUUCUUCAUGCAAGCUAAAUGAUGUACAAUUUGCCCUGGCAAGGUCUACUGUAACCUCUCUAUAAUGUUGAAUUACUUUUAAGUCAUAAUGUUGCUAAUAAAGUAAUAAUAAUAAUAGAAGUAAUAAAAAUAUUCAGAAGGUUA
Molecule: long non-coding RNA, 1200 nt
Organism: Dromaius novaehollandiae (emu)
Lineage: Eukaryota; Metazoa; Chordata; Aves; Casuariiformes; Dromaiidae
Exons: 2
Source: RefSeq, a predicted model, not a curated record